GGCUUAAAGGGUGCGCAGGCGGACCGGUAGGUGUGCUGUGAAAUACCUCGGCUCAACCGAGGAAUUGCGGUGCAAACCACCGGUCUUGAGGUAGGUAGAGGCCGUCGGAACGUUCGGUGGAGCGGUGAAAUGCGUAGAUAUCGAACGGAACGCCAAAGGUGAAGACAGGCGGCUGGGCCUAACCUGACGCUCAGGCACGAAAGCGUGGGGAUCAAACAGGAUUAGAUACCCUGGUAGUCACGCCGUAAACGAUGUGCACUAGAUCGAUGCAGGUCUGACCCUGUGUCGGUCGGAGAGAAAUUGUUAAGUGCACCGCCUGGGGAGUACGGUCGCAAGGCUAAAACUCAAAGGAAUUGACGGGGGCUCACACAAGCGGUGGAGCAUGUUGCUUAAUUCGAAGCAACGCGAAGAACCUUACCUGGGUUUGACAUGCACGGAUUAGCUCUUGGAAACAGGAGUAACGCCCUCGGGUGGAACGUGCACAGGUGCUGCAUGGCUGUCGUCAGCUCGUGCUGUGAAGUGUCGGGUUAAGUCCCUUAACGAGCGCAACCCUUGUCGCUAGUUGCCAGCGAGUCAUGUCGGGGACUCUAGCGAGACUGCCGGUGUCAAACCGGAGGAAGGUGGGGAUGACGUCAAGUCCGCAUGGCCCUUAUGUCCAGGGAUGCAAACGUGCUACAAUGGCCUGUACAAAGCGAAGCAAGACCGCGAGGUGGAGCAAAUCGCAAAAAGCAGGCCCCAGUUCGGAUUGCAGUCUGCAACUCGACUGCAUGAAGUCGGAAUCGCUAGUA
Molecule: ribosomal RNA, 788 nt
Filed under: uncultured Planctomycetota bacterium
Lineage: Bacteria; Pseudomonadati; Planctomycetota
Description: bacterial SSU rRNA
Rfam family: Bacterial small subunit ribosomal RNA
Source: RNAcentral